GACGAACGCUGGCGGCGUGCUUAACACAUGCAAGUCGAACGGAAAGGCCCUGCUUUUGUGGGGUGCUCGAGUGGCGAACGGGUGAGUAACACGUGAGUAACCUGCCCUUGACUUUGGGAUAACUUCAGGAAACUGGGGCUAAUACCGGAUAGGAGCUCCUGCUGCAUGGUGGGGGUUGGAAAGUUUCGGCGGUUGGGGAUGGACUCGCGGCUGAUCAGCUUGUUGGUGGGGUAGUGGCUUACCAAGGCUUUGACGGGUAGCCGGCCUGAGAGGGUGACCGGCCCCAUUGGGACUGAGAUACGGCCCAGACUCCUACGGGAGGCAGCAGUGGGGAAUAUUGCACAAUGGGCGGAAGCCUGAUGCAGCAACGCCGCGUGCGGGAUGACGGCCUUCGGGUUGUAAACCGCUUUCGCCUGUGACGAAGCGUGAGUGACGGUAAUGGGUAAAGAAGCACCGGCUAACUACGUG
Molecule: ribosomal RNA, 468 nt
Filed under: uncultured bacterium
Lineage: Bacteria
Description: partial 16S ribosomal RNA
Rfam family: Bacterial small subunit ribosomal RNA
Source: RNAcentral